GACGAACGUUGGCGGCGUGCUUAACACAUGCAAGUCGAACGGAAAGGCCCUGCUUUUGUGGGGUGCUCGAGUGGCGAACGGGUGAGUAACACGUGAGUAACCUGCCCUUGACUUUGGGAUAACUUCAGGAAACUGGGGCUAAUACCAGAUAGGAGCUCCUGCUGCAUGGUGGGGGUUGGAAAGUUUCGGCGGUUGGGGAUGGACUCGCGGCUUAUCAGCUUGUUGGUGGGGUAGUGGCUUACCAAGGCUUUGACGGGUAGCCGGCCUGAGAGGGUGACCGGCCACAUUGGGACUGAGAUACGGCCCAGACUCCUACGGGAGGCAGCAGUGGGGAAUAUUGCACAAUGGGCGGAAGCCUGAUGCAGCAACGCCGCGUGCGGGAUGACGGCCUUCGGGUUGUAAACCGCUUUCGCCUGUGACGAAGCGUGAGUGACGGUAAUGGGUAAAGAAGCACCGGCUAACUACGUGCCAGCAGCCGCGGUGAUACGUAGGGUGCGAGCGUUGUCCGGAUUUAUUGGGCGUAAAGGGCUCGUAGGUGGUUGAUCGCGUCGGAAGUGUAAUCUUGGGGCUUAACCCUGAGCGUGCUUUCGAUACGGGUUGACUUGAGGAAGGUAGGGGAGAAUGGAAUUCCUGGUGGAGCGGUGGAAUGCGCAGAUAUCAGGAGGAACACCAGUGGGCGAAGGCGGUUCUCUGGGGCCUUUCCUGACGCUGAGGAGCGAAAGCGUGGGGAGCGAACAGGCUUAGAUACCCUGGUAGUCCACGCUGUAAACGGUGGGUACUAGGUGUGGGGUCCAUUCCACGGGUUCCGUGCCGUAGCUAACGCUUUAAGUACCCCGCCUGGGGAGUACGGCCGCAAGGCUAAAACUCAAAGGAAUUGACGGGGCCCCGCACAAGCGGCGGAGCAUGCGGAUUAAUUCGAUGCAACGCGUAGAACCUUACCUGGGUUUGACAUGGAUCGGGAGCGCUCAGAGAUGGGUGUGCCUCUUUUGGGGUCGGUUCACAGGUGGUGCAUGGCUGUCGUCAGCUCGUGUCGUGAGAUGUUGGGUUAAGUCCCGCAACGAGCGCAACCCUUGUUCACUGUUGCCAGCACGUUAUGGUGGGGACUCAGUGGAGACCGCCGGGGUCAACUCGGAGGAAGGUGGGGAUGACGUCAAGUCAUCAUGCCCCUUAUGUCCAGGGCUUCACGCAUGCUACAAUGGCUGGUACAGAGAGUGGCGAGCCUGUGAGGGUGAGCGAAUCUCGGAAAGCCGGUCUCAGUUCGGAUUGGGGUCUGCAACUCGACCUCAUGAAGUCGGAGUCGCUAGUAAUCGCAGAUCAGCAACGCUGCGGUGAAUACGUUCCCGGG
This 1345-nucleotide ribosomal RNA is filed under the name uncultured bacterium. RNAcentral's name for it is "16S ribosomal RNA". It matches the Rfam family "Bacterial small subunit ribosomal RNA", at positions 28 to 1378 of the family's 1533-position model. The record is from RNAcentral.